RNAcentral lists this ribosomal RNA (424 nucleotides) under uncultured bacterium. RNAcentral's name for it is "partial 16S ribosomal RNA". It matches the Rfam family "Bacterial small subunit ribosomal RNA", at positions 360 to 776 of the family's 1533-position model. The record is from RNAcentral.
AAUUUAGGACAAUGGGGGAAAACCUGAUCCAGCCAUCACGCGUGUAUGAUGAAGGCCUGCGGGUUGUAAAGUACUUUGUGCAGCGUAGAAAAGGCAUCCCCUAAUACGGGAUGCUUCUGAUGGUAUUUGCAGACUAAUCACCGGCUAACUACGUGCCAGCAGCCGCCGUAAUACGUAGGGUGCAAGCGUUAAUCGGAAUUACUGGGAGUAAAGCGUGUGUAGGCGGUUCGGAAAGAAAGAUGUGAAAUCCCAGAGCUCAACCUUGGAACUACAUUUUUAACUGCCGAGCUAGAGUACGUCAGAGGGGGGUAGAAUUCCACGUGUAGCAGUGAAAUGCGUAGAUAUGUGGAGGAAUACAGAUGGCGAAGGCAGCCCCUUGGGAUAAUACUGACGCUCAGACACGAAAGCGUGGGGAGCAAACAGG